UAUGAUGUUUUCAUUUUGAAAAUUGAAUGUUUUGUGCAAUGCUGGACCUUUAAUCUAUCACCUUUGACUGGAAAAU
Non-coding RNA from Fukomys damarensis (Damara mole-rat), 76 nucleotides. The record is from Rfam. NCBI's taxonomy places the organism in Eukaryota, Metazoa, Chordata, Mammalia, Rodentia, Bathyergidae.